AUUGAACGCUGGCGGCAUGCCUUACACAUGCAAGUCGAACGGCAGCACGGGGGCAACCCUGGUGGCGAGUGGCGAACGGGUGAGUAAUGCAUCGGAACGUGCCCAGUAGUGGGGGAUAACCCGGCGAAAGCCGGGCUAAUACCGCAUACGACCUACGGGUGAAAGCGGGGGACCGUAAGGCCUCGCGCUAUUGGAGCGGCCGAUGUCUGAUUAGCUAGUUGGCGGGGUAAAGGCCCACCAAGGCGACGAUCAGUAGCUGGUCUGAGAGGACGACCAGCCACACUGGGACUGAGACACGGCCCAGACUCCUACGGGAGGCAGCAGUGGGGAAUUUUGGACAAUGGGCGCAAGCCUGAUCCAGCCAUGCCGCGUGCGGGAAGAAGGCCUUCGGGUUGUAAACCGCUUUUGGCAGGAACGAAACGGCGCAAGCUAAUACCUUGCGCUAAUGACGGUACCUGCAGAAUAAGCACCGGCUAACUACGUGCCAGCCGCCGCCGUAA
Molecule: ribosomal RNA, 500 nt
Filed under: uncultured bacterium
Lineage: Bacteria
Description: partial 16S ribosomal RNA
Rfam family: Bacterial small subunit ribosomal RNA
Source: RNAcentral